GUUAAAAUUCUAGCCACCCCACACAACCAACAAUUCUACUAACCAUUAAAAUAAAUCAUUUAAUUAUGGAAGUAUAGGCGAUAGAAACCCUCAUU
Molecule: ribosomal RNA, 95 nt
Filed under: Salamandra corsica (Corsican fire salamander)
Lineage: Eukaryota; Metazoa; Chordata; Amphibia; Caudata; Salamandridae
Description: partial 16S ribosomal RNA
Source: RNAcentral